AGAGCCCCCAACGCAGAGCAAUACCCACCACUCUGCUCAAUAAACCCUAGAUCUCUCCACCGUAGCAAUGUCUCUCGACAAAUCCUCUUUAAACCAGACCAAGCCGCUCCGGUGGGGUGAGCUGGACGAGGACGAUGGCGAGGAUUUGGACUUCCUCUUGCCGCCCAAACAAGUAAUCGGUCCCGACGAGAAUGGGAUCAAGAAGGUAAUCGAAUACAAGUUCAACGACGACGGUAAUAAGGUUAAGAUCACCACUACUACCCGUGUCCGGAAGCUCGCCAAGGCUAGGUUGAGUAAGAGAGCUAUGGAACGCAGAAAUUGGGCAAAGUUUGGAGAUGCCGUCCAUGAGGAUGUUGGAAGUAGGCUUACUAUGGUUUCCACCGAGGAGAUCCUGCUUGAAAGACCUAGGGCUCCAGGCACCAAAGUGGAAGAAACUAAGAUGCCUGGGGAUAACUUGGCUCAGUUAGGUAAAGCUGGAGCUGUUCUUAUGGUGUGCAGAACUUGUGGUAAGAAAGGUGACCACUGGACGUCACGAUGCCCCUAUAAGGAUCUUGCUCCACAGCCUGAAGGCUUCAUUGAUAAACCAGCAGCAGCUGAGCCUGUUGCUACUGCUGCUGCUGGAGCCACCAAGGGUGCAUAUGUGCCACCAAGCAUGCGAGCAGGUGCAGAAAGAACCGUUGGAUCAGAUAUGAGGCGCAGAAAUGAAGAGAAUUCAGUUCGUGUCACCAAUUUAUCAGAGGAUACUAGAGAGCCUGACUUGCUUGAACUGUUCCGUACAUUUGGUCCUGUUAGCCGAGUAUAUGUUGCUAUUGAUCAGAAGACUGGUGUUAGCAGGGGUUUUGGUUUUGUGAAUUUUGUAAACAAGGAAGAUGCUGAGAGGGCUAUCAAUAAGCUUAAUGGAUAUGGUUAUGACAAUCUAAUCCUUCGAGUUGAAUGGGCAACACCCAGAUCCAACUAGGUAGAAAGAGUUGCCGGCUAAUUCUUCUGGUGAGCACAGUUUUGCUCUUUCAUUCUCUUCUUGAGGCCCCUUUUCUAUUCUCAUUCUCGAAGAUUUUGUUGUUGAUAAAGUUAUUUAUAUUUAAGAUUGAGUUGAUAUAGGAUAUUUUUAGGGCAUGAGGAAUGAAUGCUAAUUUUUCCCCUUAUGUUAUUGUUAUUUUUAUUGCUUAUCAUAAUUGGUUAAUUGGUUUUACAAAUGGGCAUACUUUAUGAAGUCAUUUUAGUAAAUAGUUCAUUAUACCUUUUUUGAUUCGUAUUUAGAAUGUUGAGUGGUAGUGCAGUCGCAUCAAAUGCUUAGGAAAGUCGUCAAGCCCCACCUUCAUGUUGCAAUUCAGUACUAAAAUCCACUUUAAUUGGCUAUUUUAUGACAAAGCAAUAGCAUCUGUGUGAAUCAUGGUACUUUGUUCUAACAGUGCUUCCGACAUAAACCCUUAUUAUUUUAUUGGAUUUCUGCAUUUCAAUAUGAAAGUAAAUUAGAAAGCACUAUGAAUGGAAUCCAUUCAUAGUAGCUUAGUGGUUAAUUUGGUGAGAUAAUCUUGUUUGUUAAACUUCUCGCACUAACACUAUGUUUGGGAAGGGGGAAAGGAAAAUAAAAGAGGGAAGGAAAAUAAAAAUGAAAAAAUAAGGAAGGAAAAUAAUUUAAAAAUUAUUUUCCUUCCCCUUGUUUGGAUUGGGAGAGGAAAAUAUUAGAGGGAAAGUUGUUUUAUAAAUAAUAAAAUUAUAAUUUUACCCUUAAAUUAAAAAAAAAAAAUUAUUAAGUAUAGGGAUAUUUUUGUAUUUUUUCCUUACUUUCCCCCCAUUUUGGAGAGAAAGGAGAAAAAGACAAAAAAAUUUUAUUUUCCCUCCAAUAUUUUCCCUCCCCCUUUAUUUUCUACUCAAUCCAAACAAAGGAAUAGAAAAUAAAUUUAUUUUCCCCUCACAUUUUCUUUCCCCUCUCACUUUCCUCCCUUCCCAAACAUACCCUUUAGGUCCUCCAGCUGCACUUUGGAUUUUUCUAGAAGCUCUUGCCCCAAUCACAAAACCAAAACUUCAUUUUCAGAUUCCAUUUGAUUGCUUAUAAAUGGAGAUAUUGACUGAUUAAGAUUGCAAUAACACCCCUUUUAUUUCAUCUAACUUUCUGUUUCCUUCUAAUUGGUUACAAAAGCUGCUGCUUUUUUUUGUUUUUUAAUUGAUUUCGGCUGAAA
Molecule: unclassified non-coding RNA, 2180 nt
Filed under: Hevea brasiliensis (rubber tree)
Lineage: Eukaryota; Viridiplantae; Streptophyta; Magnoliopsida; Malpighiales; Euphorbiaceae
Source: RNAcentral